GAUGAACGCUGGCGGCGUGCCUAAUACAUGCCAGUCGAGCGAACAGACGAGGAGCUUGCUCCUCUGACGUUAGCGGCGGACGGGUGAGUAACACGUGGAUAACCUACCUAUAAGACUGGGAUAACUUCGGGAAACCGGAGCUAAUACCGGAUAAUAUAUUGAACCGCAUGGUUCAAUAGUGAAAGACGGUUUUGCUGUCACUUAUAGAUGGAUCCGCGCCGCAUUAGCUAGUUGGUAAGGUAACGGCUUACCAAGGCAACGAUGCGUAGCCGACCUGAGAGGGUGAUCGGCCACACUGGAACUGAGACACGGUCCAGACUCCUACGGGAGGCAGCAGUAGGGAAUCUUCCGCAAUGGGCGAAAGCCUGACGGAGCAACGCUGCGUGAGUGAUGAAGGUCUUCGGAUCGUAAAACUCUGUUAUUAGGGAAGAACAAAUGUGUAAGUAACUAUGCACGUCUUGACGGUACCUAAUCAGAAAGCCACGGCUAACUACGUG
Molecule: ribosomal RNA, 497 nt
Filed under: uncultured bacterium
Lineage: Bacteria
Description: partial 16S ribosomal RNA
Rfam family: Bacterial small subunit ribosomal RNA
Source: RNAcentral